This 382-nucleotide ribosomal RNA is filed under the name uncultured fungus. RNAcentral describes it as "SSU rRNA". It matches the Rfam family "Eukaryotic small subunit ribosomal RNA", at positions 828 to 1208 of the family's 1831-position model. The record is from RNAcentral. Lineage: Eukaryota; Fungi.
CGGCUUUCCUAUUUUGUUGGUUUCUAGGGAAGCCGUAAUGAUUAAUAGGGAUAGUCGGGGGCAUCAGUAUUCAAUUGUCAGAGGUGAAAUUCUUGGAUUUAUUGAAGACUAACUACUGCGAAAGCAUUUGCCAAGGAUGUUUUCAUUAAUCAGUGAACGAAAGUUAGGGGAUCGAAGACGAUCAGAUACCGUCGUAGUCUUAACCAUAAACUAUGCCGACUAGGGAUCGGGCGAUGUUACUAUCUUGACUCGCUCGGCACCUUACGAGAAAUCAAAGUUUUUGGGUUCUGGGGGGAGUAUGGUCGCAAGGCUGAAACUUAAAGAAAUUGACGGAAGGGCACCACCAGGAGUGGAGCCUGCGGCUUAAUUUGACUCAACACGG